RNAcentral lists this ribosomal RNA (453 nucleotides) under uncultured bacterium. RNAcentral describes it as "bacterial SSU rRNA". It matches the Rfam family "Bacterial small subunit ribosomal RNA", at positions 340 to 784 of the family's 1533-position model. The record is from RNAcentral.
UACGGGAGGCAGCAGUGGGGAAUAUUGCACAAUGGGCGCAAGCCUGAUGCAGCCAUGCCGCGUGUAUGAAGAAGGCCUUAGGGUUGUAAAGUACUUUCAUCGGGGAGGAAAAACAAAACUAAUAAUUUUAUUUCUUGACGUUACCCGAAAAAGAAGCACCGGCUAACUCCGUGCCAGCAGCCGCGGUAAUACGGAGGGUGCUAGCGUUAAUCAGAAUUACUGGGCGUAAAGAGCACGUAGGUGGUUUUUUUAAGUUCAGAUGUGAAAUCCCUGGGCUUAACCUGGAACUGCAUUUUGAAACUGAAAUACUAGAGUAUCGUAGAGGGAGGUAGAAUUCUAGGUGUAGCGGUGAAAUGCGUAGAUAUCUGGAGGAAUACCUGUGGCGAAAGCGGCCUCCUAAACGAAUACUGACACUGAGGUGCGAAAGCGUGGGGAGCAAACAGGGAUUAGAUA